AUUGAACGCUGGCGGCAGGCCUAACACAUGCAAGUCGAAUGGUAACAGGAAACAGCUUGCUGUUUCGCUGACGAGUGGGGGACGGGUGAGUAAUGUCUGGGAAACUGCCUGAUGGAGGGGGAUAACUACUGGAAACGGUAGCUAAUACCGCAUAACGUCGCAAGACCAAAGAGGGGGACCUUCGGGCCUCUUGCCAUCAGAUGUGCCCAGAUGGGAUUAGCUAGUAGGUGGGGUAACGGCUCACCUAGGCGACGAUCCCUAGCUGGUCUGAGAGGAUGACCAGCCACACUGGAACUGAGACACGGUCCAGACUCCUACGGGAGGCAGCAGUGGGGAAUAUUGCACAAUGGGCGCAAGCCUGAUGCAGCCAUGCCGCGUGUAUGAAGAAGGCCUUCGGGUUGUAAAGUACUUUCAGCGGGGAGGAAGGGAGUAAGGUUAAUACCUUUGCUCAUUGACGUUACCCGCAGAAGAAGCACCGGCUAACUCCGUG
This 490-nucleotide ribosomal RNA is filed under the name uncultured bacterium. Its description in RNAcentral is "partial 16S ribosomal RNA". It matches the Rfam family "Bacterial small subunit ribosomal RNA", at positions 30 to 507 of the family's 1533-position model. The record is from RNAcentral.